GACGAACGCUGGCGGCGUGCUUAACACAUGCAAGUCGAACGGAAAGGCCCUGCUUUUGUGGGGUGCUCGAGUGGCGAACGGGUGAUUAACACGUGAGUAACCUGCCCUUGACUUUGGGAUAACUUCAGGAAACUGGGGCUAAUACCGGAUAGGAGCUCCUGCUGCAUGGUGGGGGUUGGAAAGUUUCGGCGGUUGGGGAUGGACUCGCGGCUUAUCAGCUUGUUGGUGGGGUAGUGGCUUACCAAGGCUUUGACGGGUAGCCGGCCUGAGAGGGUGACCGGCCACAUUGGGACUGAGAUACGGCCCAGACUCCUACGGGAGGCAGCAGUGGGGAAUAUUGCACAAUGGGCGGAAGCCUGAUGCAGCAACGCCGCGUGCGGGAUGACGGCCUUCGGGUUGUAAACCGCUUUCGCCUGUGACGAAGCGUGAGUGACGGUAAUGGGUAAAGAAGCACCGGAUAACUACGUG
This 468-nucleotide ribosomal RNA is filed under the name uncultured bacterium. RNAcentral's name for it is "partial 16S ribosomal RNA". It matches the Rfam family "Bacterial small subunit ribosomal RNA", at positions 28 to 507 of the family's 1533-position model. The record is from RNAcentral.